GACGAACGCUGGCGGCGUGCCUAACACAUGCAAGUGGAGCGACGAACCGGGCUUCGGCCCGGGGCCAAGCCGCGAACGGGUGAGUAACACGUGGGUAACCUGCCCUGAUGAUUGGGACAACCCGAGGAAACUCGGGCUAAUACCGAAUGUGCCCUCCGACCAUAAGGUCUGCGGGGAAAGGAAGCUUCGGCCUCCGCAUCGGGAUGGGCCCGCGGCGCAUUAGCUUGUUGGUGGGGUAACGGCUCACCAAGGCGACGAUGCGUAGCUGGUCUGAGAGGACGAUCAGCCACACUGGGACUGAGACACGGCCCAGACUCCUACGGGAGGCAGCAGUGGGGAAUCUUGCGCAAUGCGCGAAAGCGUGACGCAGCAACGCCGCGUGGGGAAGACGGCCUCGG
This 398-nucleotide ribosomal RNA is filed under the name uncultured bacterium. RNAcentral describes it as "bacterial SSU rRNA". It matches the Rfam family "Bacterial small subunit ribosomal RNA", at positions 28 to 420 of the family's 1533-position model. The record is from RNAcentral.